AUUGAACGCUGGCGGCAGGCCUAACACAUGCAAGUCGAGCGGUAGAGAGAAGCUUGCUUCUCUUGAGAGCGGCGGACGGGUGAGUAAUGCCUAGGAAUCUGCCUGGUAGUGGGGGAUAACGUUCGGAAACGGACGCUAAUACCGCAUACGUCCUACGGGAGAAAGCAGGGGACCUUCGGGCCUUGCGCUAUCAGAUGAGCCUAGGUCGGAUUAGCUAGUUGGUGGGGUAAUGGCUCACCAAGGCGACGAUCCGUAACUGGUCUGAGAGGAUGAUCAGUCACACUGGAACUGAGACACGGUCCAGACUCCUACGGGAGGCAGCAGUGGGGAAUAUUGGACAAUGGGCGAAAGCCUGAUCCAGCCAUGCCGCGUGUGUGAAGAAGGUCUUCGGAUUGUAAAGCACUUUAAGUUGUGAUGAAGGGCAGUAAAUUAAUACUUUGCUGUUUUGACGUUACCGACAGAAUAAGCACCGGCUAACUCUGUG
RNAcentral lists this ribosomal RNA (484 nucleotides) under uncultured bacterium. RNAcentral describes it as "partial 16S ribosomal RNA". It matches the Rfam family "Bacterial small subunit ribosomal RNA", at positions 30 to 507 of the family's 1533-position model. The record is from RNAcentral.